UACGGAGGGUGCAAGCGUUAUCCGGAUUCACUGGGUUUAGAGGGUGCGUAGGUGGGCAAGUAAGUCAGUGGUGAAAUCUCCGGGCUUAACCCGGAAACUGCCAUUGAUACUAUUUGUCUUGAAUACUGUGGAGGUCAGCGGAAUAUGUCAUGUAGCGGUGAAAUGCUUAGAUAUGACAUAGAACACCAAUUGCGAAGGCAGCUGGCUACACAAAUAUUGACACUGAGGCACGAAAGCGUGGGGAUCAAACAGG
This 253-nucleotide ribosomal RNA is filed under the name uncultured bacterium. RNAcentral's name for it is "partial 16S ribosomal RNA". It matches the Rfam family "Bacterial small subunit ribosomal RNA", at positions 524 to 776 of the family's 1533-position model. The record is from RNAcentral.